This 71-nucleotide transfer RNA is filed under the name Heterocephalus glaber (naked mole-rat). It matches the Rfam family "tRNA". From Rfam's summary of the family: Transfer RNA (tRNA) molecules are approximately 80 nucleotides in length. Their secondary structure includes four short double-helical elements and three loops (D, anti-codon, and T loops). Lineage: Eukaryota; Metazoa; Chordata; Mammalia; Rodentia; Bathyergidae. The record is from Rfam by way of RNAcentral.
GGCGAUGUAGCUCAGUGGUAGAGCACUUGCCUAGCGUGCAUGAGGCUGUGGGUUUGAUCCCCAGCACACCA